UCUGAGUACUAAGUUUCCCUCAAAC
Molecule: non-coding RNA, 25 nt
Filed under: Rattus norvegicus (Norway rat)
Lineage: Eukaryota; Metazoa; Chordata; Mammalia; Rodentia; Muridae
Source: RNAcentral